Molecule: long non-coding RNA, 548 nt
Filed under: Macaca nemestrina (pig-tailed macaque)
Lineage: Eukaryota; Metazoa; Chordata; Mammalia; Primates; Cercopithecidae
Description: lncRNA (ENSMNEG00000045672.1)
Source: RNAcentral
CUAUGGCAGAUACUGUUGACUGACUAAUUAUUCCUUGCUAAAGGGACCCUAAUUUUUUUCCCCCAGUGCAGAUCCUUUGAUUCCAUGGAAGGCAUGCCCAAGUCUAAGGUCCUCCUAAUACUCAACUGGUUUGGGAACCAUCGGGCCCAGUGAUCUCUGAUGCUCCUUCCAACUUGUAGGAUGUGAAUUCCUGGGUUUAGUUAUAUAAGAGCUAGGAAUGACCAAGGCAAAACUUCCAUCUACUUGCAUCAGAAUGGAGACGCAGAUGCAGAUGACGAAUUAAAGGGACUCAAGGAAGGUCCCUAUUCUGCCUUGAAUUUGUUUUCAUGGUUCUCCGAGAAGUGUCUAGAGGUGAGAAAGUCAAUUUAACUGAUUAUUUUCUAAAAAUAGAAUAAACAGAAAAUUUUGUUUAAAAAAUAUUUUCUUAGCAUAGUGAAGUACAACAUUUUCUAUAGUUAUCCACAGUACUUUAAGAAAUUUACAAUGUACUGCUAGAACUUUGAGUGAAACUUAGGAAUUUUAUGUGCUUUGGAUGAAAGAUGACAGCA